GUGCCAGCCGCCGCGGUAAUACCGGUGGCUCGAGUAGUGGCCGCUAUUAUUGGGUCUAAAGGGUCCGUACCGGCCUGAUAAGUUACCUGGGAAAUCCGGUGGCCUAACCAUCGUGGCGGCCAGGUAAUACUAUCAGGCUCGGGACUAGGAGAGACCAGAGGUACUCAUGAGGUAGAGUGAAAUCCUGUAAUCUUAUGAGGACCACCAGUGGUGAAGACGUCUGGUUAGAAUAGGUCCGACGGUGAGGGACGAAGGCUGGGGGCGCAAACCGGAUUAGAUACCCGGGUAGUCCCAGCAGUAAACGAUGCCAGCUAUGUGUUGCUGGAACCAUGGGUUCCAGCAGUGCCGAAGGGAAGCCGUGAAGCUGGCCACCUGGGAAGUACGGUCGCAAGGCUGAAACUUAAAGGAAUUGGCGGGGGAGUACCACAAGCCGGUGGAGCCUGCGGUUUAAUUGGAUACAACGCCGGGAAUACUUACCGGAGGGGACAGCAGUAUGAAGGCCAGGCUAAAGACCUUGCCAGAUCAGCUGAGAGGAGGUGCAUGG
RNAcentral lists this ribosomal RNA (544 nucleotides) under uncultured bacterium. RNAcentral's name for it is "bacterial SSU rRNA". It matches the Rfam family "Archaeal small subunit ribosomal RNA", at positions 455 to 997 of the family's 1478-position model. The record is from RNAcentral.